Molecule: long non-coding RNA, 712 nt
Organism: Danaus plexippus (monarch butterfly)
Lineage: Eukaryota; Metazoa; Arthropoda; Insecta; Lepidoptera; Nymphalidae
Exons: 3
Source: RefSeq, a predicted model, not a curated record
CAGGAUAUGAUAUCAGACGCAUCUGAAACAUACGAGUAGGAGGACGUACAUCAUGAGAUACGUUAUAACCUCAUCAGUGCUGUGUAAAUAGUGCUAGACGAGUUACAUAUACGAUACUCCUAGUGAUGUGCUUUUAAUGGUCCUAAAACCCUCAGCAUGCUGUGGUGAGACUGAAUGAGAAUAAAAUGUCUGAAGAUCUAUAAAUAAUCAAAUGUAACUAGAUUUUUUUCCGGAUUUACUUCGCCGAUUUCAUUAUUGUGCGUAUAGUUAUACGUAAUUAUGAUUAUUUUGCUUGGACCCUGACCACGGUUACUACGAUCCGGAAAAAAACAUAGCUUCAUUUAAAUAAAUAGUCGCGAAAGUCCUGAUGUAUAAAUACUGAUGCGACAAAAUCUAUAAUUUGGUUAUACUUCCAAGGCUGUAUGCGGCGGUAUACGUGAAGGGAGUGCAUUCAGAGACGUUAAAGUUUUUAAUAAUAAAAUCCGUGAUUGCACUCCAGCAGUACCUCAGAGAGGUUUGUUAUAGACGAGGAUAGUCUUUGUAGUGAUGCCCUCCGCUGUGUUGUAACUAGCUUGCGGACUACAUCUAAAGGCCGCUUCAGCCCUAGCAUUUGUACUCCGAAGAACGUAUCGGCCUCUUCAUCCUCGUGAUUCACCUUCAACAAGCCCAUUCUACGUAAGGAACCUCCGUAACUAAUAAACGCCCGGCAUCU